CCUACGGGAGGCAGCAGUGAGGAAUAUUGGUCAAUGGACGAAAGUCUGAACCAGCCAAGUAGCGUGAAGGAUGAUUGCCUUAUGGGUUGUAAACUUCUUUUAUAUGGGAAUAAAAUGUUCCACGUGUGGGAUUUUGUAUGUCCCAUAUGAAUAAGGUACGGCAAACUCCGUGCCAGCAGCCGCGGUAAUACGGAGGAUCCGAGCGUUAUCCGGUUUUAUUGGGUUUAAGGGGUGCGUAGGCGGUCCGUUAAGUCAGCGGUAAAAUUGCGGGGCUCACCCCCGUCGAGCCGUUGAAACUGGCAGACUUGAGUGUGCGUGAAGUACGCGGAAUGCGCGGUGUAGCGGUGAAAUGCAUAGAUAUCACGCAGAACUCCGAUUGCGAAGGCAGCGUACCGGCGCCAGACUGACGCUGAGGCACGAAAGCGUGGGGAUCGAACAGGAUUAGAUACCCUUGUAGUC
Molecule: ribosomal RNA, 459 nt
Filed under: uncultured bacterium
Lineage: Bacteria
Description: partial 16S ribosomal RNA
Rfam family: Bacterial small subunit ribosomal RNA
Source: RNAcentral